RNAcentral lists this ribosomal RNA (1367 nucleotides) under uncultured bacterium. RNAcentral describes it as "partial 16S ribosomal RNA". It matches the Rfam family "Bacterial small subunit ribosomal RNA", at positions 28 to 1381 of the family's 1533-position model. The record is from RNAcentral.
GACGAACGCUGGCGGCGUGCUUAACACAUGCAAGUCAACGAGAAGCUGAGGUACUUGUACCUUCGGUGGACAGUGGCGAACGGGUGAGUAACGCGUAGACAAUCUACCCUUUAGACCGGGAUAAUUCCUGGAAACAGGGGCUAAUACCGGAUGUUGUCUCGAAAUGGCAUCAUUUUGAGAUAAAAGGUUAUAAGCUACUAAAGGAUGAGUCUGCGUAUCAUUAGUUAGUUGGUAGGGUAACGGCCUACCAAGACGACGAUGAUUAGCUGGUCUGAGAGGAUGAUCAGCCACACUGGGACUGAGAUACGGCCCAGACUCCUACGGGAGGCAGCAGUGAGGAAUAUUGCGCAAUGGGGGAAACCCUGACGCAGCAACGCCGCGUGAGUGAUGAAUCUGUUCUGCAGUGUAAAGCUCUGUCGCUUGGGAAGAACUAUGCUCUUAGGAGGAGCAUUUGACGGUACCAAGUGAGAAAGCUCCGGCUAACUCCGUGCCAGCAGCCGCGGUAAUACGGAGGGAGCAAGCGUUGUCCGGAAUCAUUGGGCGUAAAGGGCAUGUAGGUGGGAUCUUAAGUCAGUUGUUAAAUUUUACAGCUUAACUGUAUUGUGCAAUUGAUACUGGGAUUCUUGAGUGUGAGAGGGGGCAGUGGAAUAUCUAGUGUAGCGGUGGAAUGCGUAGAUAUUAGAUAGAACACCUGAGGCGAAGGCGAUUGUCUGGCUCACAACUGACACUGAAAUGCGAAAGCAUGGGUAGCAAAUAGGAUUAGAUACCCUAGUAGUCCAUGCUGUAAACGAUGGGUACUAGGUGUUGGAAGGCAAGCCCUUUCAGUGCCGUAGCUAACGCGUUAAGUACCCCGCCUGGGGAGUGCGAUCGCAAGGUUGAAACUCAAAGGAAUUGACGGGGGCCCGCACAAGCGGUGGAGCAUGUGGUUUAAUUCGAUGCAACGCGAAGAACCUUACCUGGGCUUGAACUGUAUUUGACCGUUACAGAGAUGUAAUUUUUCGAUUUAUCGAACAGAUAUAGAGGUGCUGCAUGGCUGUCGUCAGCUCGUGUCGUGAGAUGUUGGGUUAAGUCCCGCAACGAGCGCAACCCUUAUCAUUAAUUGCCAGCGAGUAAAGUCGGGGACUUUAAUGAUACUGCCUGCGUUAAGCAGGAGGAAGGUGGGGAUGACGUCAAGUCCUCAUGGCCUUUAUGUCCAGGGCUACACACGUGCUACAAUGGUUAGUACAGAGUGCAGCGACCUUGCGAGAGGGAGCCAAUCACUAAAACUAAUCUAAGUUCGGAUUGCAGUCUGCAAACUCGACUGCAUGAAGUUGGAAUCGCUAGUAAUCGCGGAAUCAGCAUGCCGCGGUGAAUACGUUCCCGGGCCU